CCAGAAGAUGAAGUGUUAUUUUAUUCAUCAGCCCAAUAAGAUCCAUGAAAUGAAUGCACAGAAGCAUUAACAAAUGUUACAUUGAAAACAUAAAAAUAGAAAUAAGCAGGAUACACUCUCUCACUUCUCGUGUAUAAUUAGAUUUACAAACACAUACAACCUUCCACUUAGUUCUCUUUCUCUCAUAUGUAUAUAUAUAUAUAUAUAUAUACACAUACAUAUAUACACAUAUAUAUAUAUACAUAAAUAUAUAUAUACAUAUAUUAUAAACAUUAUAUCAUAUUUAUAUAUAUUAUAUAUACAUACAUGCAUGCACGCAAACACAAAUAUACAUAUACAAAUAUUCACACAUACAUACAUACACACACGUACAUAUAUUUAUGUACAUAUAUAUGUGUGUAUGCAUUAUAAUUAAAUAUAUAUGUAGUAAUACAAGAGAACACAUUUCCAUGGUAGACAGAAACCAUCAUUCAUGGAUCUCACUGAUAUGAACCAGAGCUCCAUGUCCGAAAUCAUUGCUUACGUACUUCCAUGGUAGAAAAUUACAUUAAAUAAAAAUGUCACAAAAUAAAUACAUGACUUUUAUUAAAAAAUAUUCUGAUCCUCUCUUCAAUUUUUUUAAAAAUUCUUUUUCUUUGCUUUUUGGCAAAAAUGAAGGAAUAAUUUGCAAAUUAUCUUUAGCAAAUAAAUUAUAAUUAUUAUCCAAUAAGUAUAUAAUGUCAGCAUAUGUGGGCAAAAUUAGAUUGGUAAUUAGAAAUAAUUAACAUCCUCAUUACGAGUAUUCAUUGGAGAUGAGGAUGGUUAGCAUGCUAAUAAGUAGAGUAAAUGAUACCCAACUAUCACUUGCUUCUCCUACUUACUCAUUUAUUUUUGUAUUAAUUUUUAAAUAUCCACCAAUUUUCAAUUAAAUUUUUCUUUAAUAAAUUUUUACAAGAAACCAAAAAAAAAAAGAAAGAAAGUAAAAGAGACUUUUUUUUUAGACGUGGUUAAUUUGUCAAAUAAAUUUUAGCAAAAUAAAGGAUAAAAUAAGAACUAUUUCAUCAAAUAUUUACAAAUGUAUAAAUACAGAAGCAGCUCCUUCCAUAGGCAGAAGAGAGUUCAGACUUAAAUAUUUAUACACAUAUACAUAUAAUCAUACAUAUUCAAAUAAAUAAAGAAAAUGUAUAUAACUAAAUAAUAAAUGAAGUAUAUCACAUAUAUAUAUAUAUAUGCAUAUAUCUAAUACAGCUUUUUUCUUCUCUUUUGUUAGCAAUAUAUUGUUUAGCAAUUAGCAAAAUGAUAAAAGCAAGCAAGUAAAAGAAAAACAAAAUAAAUGAGUUAUUACAUUGGCACAAGGCCUCAGUUUUAUAGAGAGGCAGAGGAGAGAUGUAAUUAGAUGAAUCCAAUUAAUAUUUUAUCUUAUCAGUACAUAUUUUACUAACUUUGGAGAUCAGCAUGAAAUGUAAUGUUGACACCAGUAAAAUUCAUAUUCUGAUCAUUGAAAAACCAAGAUUAAAUACUGAAAAGGCUUUAAUCUACUGCUGUACUAUUUCUGCUACACCACUAUCCUGAUGAUAAUAGUAAUAACAUUAUUUUGAUAUGGGCGGGAGGUCAGAAAUUUGUGAGAAGGGGUUAGUCUGUUAUAACAGCACCCCAUACUAGACUGGUACUUUAUUUUAUGAAACACAGAAGGAUGAAAGCUGGUCUCAGCAGGAUUUGAACUCAGAAUGUAAAGAGCUUAAAUACUGCAAAACAUUUUGUUCAACAUUUUAAUGAUACUGCCCAUCUUCUGCCCCAGUAAAAAUAAUUGUUUCUAACAUAGAUAUAAGGCCAAAAAUUUGUUGGGGAGGAGAGUACAGUCAAUUAUAUUCUAGGACUCGACUGGUAUUGUAUUUUAUCAAUUCCAAAAGAAUGAAAGGCAAAGUUGAUUUUGGGAGAAUUUGAGCUCAGAAUCUAAAAGAGUAGGAACAAAUAAAUACAACAAGGUAUCUUGUCAGAUACUCUAAUGACUCUGCCAAUCUACUACCCUAGUAAUAAUAAUAAUAAUUAUAUGCUCAUUAUAAGAAAUAAAAUGUGGAAUACAUAAAAGCGAUGCUGGGUUAAAACUGCAACAAUUAACAAGGGAGAUUAAUUGUUCUGAUUAAUAGUAAUGGUUAACAGUUUUGGCUAGGUUUCAUGAUUUAAAUAACAAUUAUUAAUUUUACUUUUCUUUCAUUGGCAAAUGUAACUUUAAUUUUCAUCUAUUUUGGCUUAGCUGUAAAGACUUGUGAUAUGAAUGAUUAAACAGAAAUCAACAACAAUUUGCAAAUUAUAACAUUAUUUAUUAGUUUUCUUUUAUAGAGUUUGGAGUUUAAAAGAUAUGAGGGUGUAAGAUAUUAAAACAACAACAAACAAUGGAAAACAAAUAACCAUCACCAUUUUAAAAGUGAAUACAAAUACACACACACACACACACACACAAACAAACAAUAUAUAUAAAAACAAACUAUAAGAGGUAUUUGCUCCAACAUAGCCUUUAUAGCAGCCAUGGCUAAAACAAUCUAAUUUUCCUGAUUAAUGGUAAUAAUUAACAUGCAUUUGUAUGCACAUAUGCUUAUACACAUGUGCAUAUGUAUAUGCUUACACACAUAUGUACGUAAGUGCAUGUGAGUAACUGAGCGAGCAAAUGGAUACUUUGUAUAUUUCUCAGUAAAAAGGUCCUAACUCUAAAAUAUCCCAUUGAUCUAACAAUGAGAAAAGACAAACGUGGUCCCAAUGUCGCACAAACUGAAACUCAGAGCCAACAGAUUGUUUGCAGUAGGUGAUUAGAAAUUAGUAUCAGCUGAAAAUAUUUACCUGGUAUCCAUUUGUUGAAACAUUAUUAUUAUCAUUAUAAUUGCUAUCUAUAUAUCUUACUUAAGAAAUACUCUGUCAAUAGGCCAGUUACUGCAGUAUUUGUUCUAAGAUAAUACUUAUGGUUAGUGUUUAUACAUUAUGUAGGAUACAUAAAUGGCUAUUUUACUUAAAUACUGCCUCUAUUAUUUUAAUUAUUAUAAGUAAAUUAAUUAAUAUAUUCAUAUUGCUUAUAAAUUACAUUAGUUCAUUGCUAGUUAACAUUUCUUGUAAUAUUAGACUUACUAGUCAGUUAUUUCUUAUAAACGAUUUAAAAUAUAUAGGCAUUUGGACUAAACUGAAGAAUGUUGAACUAUUACAAAGUCUCUCAUACACUAUGUCUCUCUCCCAUACUCUCACACACACUCGUCUUAUAUACCACAUUCACACAUUAUACUCACAUGCAAACAAGUUUAACAAUCAUAGUUAGUGAUAAAACAGCUUGUAUUAGACCAGUUCACAUCACUGAAAACAAGUGUUAAUGGAGAGUAUUGUUCACCACAAUAUAAUUGACAUGUGUGAGUUUGUAGUAUCACUUUAAAAUUUUCCCAAGAAUGGCAUCUCAAAUGGGAUAUACUCUAUGUACACUACAUGAUAUAUGAAGUUUCACAUAGUGCCCUUAAUAACCUUAGAGAAAAUAAGAGUGGUGAUUUGUUAUACAUAAAGAUUACACACUUAUUGUUUCAAAUAUUUGUCACAAGGCCAGCAGUUUUAGAGGGAAGAGAUAAGCCUGUUACAUUGAACCCAGUGUUCAACUGGUACUAACUUUUACCAACUCUGUAAGGAUGAAAGACCAAGUCAACCUCAUUUAUAUUUGAACACAGAAUGUAAAGCUGGAAGAGGUUUUGGUUUUAAAUUUUGGCACAAGGCCAACAAUUUCAGGGUAGGGGAUAAGUCAAAUACAUUGACCCCAGUGCUCAACUGGUAUUUAUUUUAUAAACCCCAAAAGGACGAAAAGUAAAGUCGACCUUGGCAGAAUUUCAACUCAGAAUGUAAAAAUGGACAAAAUGCCACUUAGCAUUUUGCCCAGCUUGCUAACGGUUCUGCCAGCUUGCUGCCCUGAAAAAAGCUGGAAGAAAUAUUGCUAAGCAUUUCGUUUGGUCGGCUAAUGAUUCUGCCAUCUCGCUGCCUUGUGCACACAUAAUAGAAACCUAAUAUUCUACAUUAAUCACAUAUGACGUGAAAGAAAGAACCAAUUUCUAGCCUGUUGUAGGGAUUAGAAGGUUCAGUCAACACAUGCUUCAGGUAUUUUAUCUUUUCACUGUAACUAGAUUUCUCUUUACGCCACAUUCAUUUCAUUUACACAAACACACUCAAAGCUACCUAUAUGAAAAUAAUACACAUACAUAGAUGAGUAUGUCUUUUACACAUGUACAAAUAAUAUACAUACACACUUCAUACACUGCAACUACAGGGUUAAAAUUAACCUUCUUACAAUAUAAUAUAUAUAUCUCAUAAUUUAUAUUCUUUGAACAUGGGGGAUUUGAAGGAAAAUUUGUUCAUAAUUCAAUCAUUACAGUAACUAAUCAAGAUUAAAAAAAGAAAAAAAACUUUUACCAUGCAACAGUUCAAAAACAUCGUAGGUGUAUGUGCGGUGGGUGUAUGUAUAUAUAACAAAGGAAGAAGAAAAAGAUCAGCAAUAACAGAAGUCACUAACCACUGAAUCAAAACUUAUGAAAUAGAAAAAUAUGCAAUUUCCUCACCCCGACCAGUUUUAGAAACAUUUUAAUCUUCCCAUAUACUUUGUUAUAUUAAAAUGAAUUUCAUAAUAAAACAUAGCUUAAAACUUUGUACACUAUCUCAGCUGACACUGAGCGUGUGUGUGUAUAUAUAGAGAUACAUACAUAUCCAAUAUAUUAAGCAUAUAUAAGACAACAUAUAUACAUACAUGCACUUGUGUAUGUGUACAUAAAUUUAGGUGUGUGUGUAUGUGUACACCGACACACACACACAAAGACGUGCAUGUGUGUACAUACACACAUAUAAAACAUAUAUAAGAAAUACAUACAUGCAUUUGUAUCUAUAUGUAUACAUACACAUAUAUCUUAGCUAUGUAUUUAGUGGGAGAAUUCUAAGAUUCACGCAAGAUUUUACAUUAUUUUUAAUAUUAUUAUUUCUCUAUUAACAUUAUUAAUUUCCCAUUAGAGAGGGGAAAAAACCCCCAGAAAUGCUCUAGUAUCAUAAGUUAGCAACUGACAAAUAUCAUCCUUCAUCCAUAGAGCUUACAACAAUCAGAUUUCAGAACCAAAUACCACCUUUAGUUUAGUGCAGCUGCAAUCAUAUCAAUGUAUUUUUUUUUCUUUUUCUUUUUCUUUUUAAUGAAUAAAAAUUUGAUUCACAUUUUAUAUUUUAUUUUCUGAAUAACUAAAUUAAUGGUACCGGGCUCUCCAUCAAUAUUUUCCAAUAUCAUAAAUAUUACAAUUUUCCCCACCAAUAUUUUCCAGUAUCAGAAAUAUUACAACAAUUUCUUUAAGGACAAGCUUAUAUAACCAAAACAAUGUCAUUUAAUUCUCCUUUUCUCUCACUUUAAGUGUCAGUUACAUAUCCUUAUGUCUAGAAAAUAUAUGUUCUUCAUUAAAAAAAAAAAAUCAAAUCAAAUUAACAAGAACACAACAAAUAUUUCUGUUACCUCAAUUAAACUAAACCAGAAAUCAACUUUCAAAGAUUAUUUUCAGAUUUCGUUUCCUUUAUACAUAGUUACCGAAGAUAUUUAGCUGUGAGGUUUAUUCAGUCAGUUAUGACAAAAACUGGCUUGAAUACUUUAAAUAACAUAAAAGAUUUGUAGACUUUGUGCACACAUUCUUAGACCAGUAUAUGCAUUUUAUGUGCACUUCUGUCCAUAAGACUUCACACACACACACACACACACACACGUCUGUAUGAGUUAGAGGUUAAUAAACCAUCCAAGGGAUAUUAAAUAUCCAUUAUACUACUGGAUGUGUACCUACGUAUUUUUAACCUAGUGCUUACUAUUGCUUGGCAAUAUCGCAAUUGAAUACUAGGUAUGGGUGGGGUUAAAUUGGAAAUUUACCCAGGAUUUAUAAGACAAAUAAGAAAAUGGAGAGGAUAUAAAAUCAACAAACAUCAGCCUGUGAACAUCCCAUUAUAUCUAUUUAUUAAAUGAUAAUAAACAAGUGUUUAAGUGGUACAAGUAAACGAAUGAGAUCAGCCAAUAAAUAUGUAAACAGAUAUAUAGAAAGAGAGAGAUGAAUGAAUGAAUAAUAAUAAUAAUAGAGGAAUGUACAGAUACAAAUCACUUAUGACCAUUUCUACCAUGAGGCCUCAGUCAUCCUCAUCAUUCCAGUGGUAUACAGGGAUGAACAAACAUUGGACAGAAAUUGGGUAAUAGUUGAGCCUCAUGGCUUCUUCAUAGAGUACAAAUGUUAGGAAACUAACAUGUGGGAAAUUCAGUUAGAAUAAUAAAGUAGGGUAAAUAGGAUAAGAUAGAGUAAAAUAGGUAAAAAUUUUUAAAAUGAUGUAAUGUAAUAGACAUGGUAAAGAAAAGUAAGAACUUCAUUCUAAGAUGUUAUUAUAACCCAUGGUAUUCCAUCCUGUGGUAAGUAAGAAAAGUCACUCUCAGGAGACAUAUCCAUAGGCUGCGGUUUACAUCAAGUUUCCAUUAUACUGAGGGAAAUAAUGAAGGUAGUAUGCUAUGCGGUGGGUCUAAUGGUAUGGUCCAUACUACAUGGGUCAGGGGUUAGAGGUUAGACACUAAUAGAUAUAACAAUAUUAAAGGAGUUGACUGUAAUAACUUAAAUUGAACCUGUUAGGGGAAAAUUAAUACAUAAGUACAUUAAUGAAAGAAAAACUGGGUAAAACCUUAGUGCAAUGUUAAUAUUUGCAACUUAUUGGCCAAAAACUAAUCCCAAUACUCCUAUGCAUAGUACUUAUACCACUAAAACACAUGUUUGUUAUCAUUUAAUAAAUAGAUAUAAUGGUAUGUUUACUGGCUGAUGUUUGUCGAUUUUAUAUCCUCUCCAUUUUCUUAUUUGCCUAAUAUAUAUAUAUAUAUAUAUAUAUAUACAUACACACACACAUGUACAUGCAUACAUAUACACAUAUACUCACGUACAUGCACACAUAUACAUACACACACACGUGAGUAUAAACAAAUUCCAUGACUAUAUAACUUAUGUUAAGUGAAUGUAGUUCUAUUUGUAUGAUCAACAGAUUCAAAGACAGGAAGGCAAACAGACUUUGUAUGUGAGACAACACAAAGAAAUUAUUCACACAAAGAUUUACAUGAACGUUUAAAGAUUCUUUUUUUCUUUCCAUAUCUCUGUCUUUCGAAGUUCAUUUGCGUUUUUCUCCUUUUCAUUUUGCAUUAUAUUUUAAAAUUAAAAAAUAUAAACUAAUUGAGAAAAGUCAAAAUACUAUUUACUCCAAAAGCUGAGCAACAGUAAUAUUUCUGGUAGGGGAGACAACUCUGUAUAGGUGUGUAUGUGGCGUUUGAAAUAUUAAAAAAAAGAUUUUUAAAUAAAUGGUCUUAACGUUACUAUUUACACGCUUGCAUUCAAAAUCAUGAAUUAACAAACAAGACAUUAAUCCACUCUCCCACAAUGAAUCACACAUUACAUUCAAAUCAAAUACAUACAUCAUAUAUAUUUAUAUAUAUAUAUAUAUAUAUAUAUAUAUAUACACACACAUACACAUAUGCAAUAAACAUAAAUAAAGAUACAAAUCAUCAUCAUCAUCAUCAUUUAAUGUCUGUUUUCCAUGCUGGUAUGGAUCAAACAUAUGAGAAACACAUUUACACACAUAUCCACACAGAGAUAAAUAUAAAUAGAUGUUUUAAGAAGCUGGAAGCAGAAAUGGAUGACACCCAAAUCUAAAUUCAAUUGAUUUGUGGCACAAUUAAAAUAUUGAAAACUUUUCAAAAUUUCAGCAUUUAACUGAAGUUGUUGCAUGAGCAACAAAAGUCAUGUCACUUAGUUAAAGUUCAAUUAUUUUGUUGACUGAAUAAAAGUUGUACAUACACUCAACAUCCAUAUGCACACACUUAUAUUUGAUUCCACACGAUUUUCACAAAUUCACCUUCAAAAUAUCAGUUUCAAUUUACAUAAAAAUCUUAACUAUAAUACAAUUUAAUGUUUAUGUAUGUGUGUAUAUAUAUACACACAUAUAU
This 7975-nucleotide long non-coding RNA is filed under the name Octopus vulgaris (common octopus). Lineage: Eukaryota; Metazoa; Mollusca; Cephalopoda; Octopoda; Octopodidae. The record is from RNAcentral.